CAGAGUAGGCAAGGUGCGUAAAGUUGCGCAGGAUGGGAAGUUGCCUGCGCCCGAAGGGGCCUCCCCGCGAUACCUUGCUGCGUCCGCUG
Molecule: non-coding RNA, 89 nt
Filed under: bovine gut metagenome
Description: THF riboswitch
Rfam family: THF (Tetrahydrofolate) riboswitch aptamer
About the family: THF riboswitch presents a pseudoknot that joins P1-P2 and the loop of P3 and two THF binding.
Source: RNAcentral